GAUGAACGCUAGCGGCAGGCUUAACACAUGCAAGUCGAGGGGCAGCGUGAUGAAGUAGCAAUACGGAUUUGACGGCGACCGGCGCACGGGUGCGUAACGCGUAUGUAACCUACCUUUAACAGGGGGAGUAACACUGAGAAAUUGGUACUAAUACCCCAUAACACUUCGGAGGGCAUCCUUUGGAGUUGAAAGUUCCGGCGGUUAAAGAUGGACAUGCGUUGUAUUAGCUAGAUGGUGAGGUAACGGCUCACCAUGGCGACGAUACAUAGGGGGACGUGAGAGGUUAACCCCCCACCACUGGUACUGAGACACGGACCAGACUCCUACGGGAGGCAGCAGUGAGGAAUAUUGGUCAAUAGG
Molecule: ribosomal RNA, 360 nt
Filed under: uncultured bacterium
Lineage: Bacteria
Description: bacterial SSU rRNA
Rfam family: Bacterial small subunit ribosomal RNA
Source: RNAcentral